UACGUAGGGAGCAAGCGUUGUCCGGAAUCAUUGGGCGUAAAGCGCGCGUAGGUGGCUUCGUAAGUCCGUUGUGAAAGUCAAAGGCUCAACCUUUGAAAGCCGAUGGAUACUGCGGAGCUAGAGUACGGAAGAGGCGAGUGGAAUUCCUGGUGUAGCGGUGGAAUGCGCAGAUAUCAGGAGGAACACCGGUGGCGAAGGCGGGUCUCUGGGCCGAUACUGACGCUGAGGAGCGAAAGCGUGGGGAGCGAACAGG
RNAcentral lists this ribosomal RNA (253 nucleotides) under uncultured bacterium. Its description in RNAcentral is "partial 16S ribosomal RNA". It matches the Rfam family "Bacterial small subunit ribosomal RNA", at positions 524 to 776 of the family's 1533-position model. The record is from RNAcentral.